UACGGAGGAUCCAAGCGUUAUCCGGAAUCAUUGGGUUUAAAGGGUCCGUAGGCGGUUUGGUAAGUCAGUGGUGAAAGCCCAUCGCUCAACGGUGGAACGGCCAUUGAUACUGCCAGACUUGAAUUAUUAGGAAGUAACUAGAAUAUGUAGUGUAGCGGUGAAAUGCUUAGAGAUUACAUGGAAUACCAAUUGCGAAGGCAGGUUACUACUAAUGGAUUGACGCUGAUGGACGAAAAGCGUGGGGUAGCGAACAGG
This 255-nucleotide ribosomal RNA is filed under the name uncultured bacterium. RNAcentral's name for it is "partial 16S ribosomal RNA". It matches the Rfam family "Bacterial small subunit ribosomal RNA", at positions 524 to 776 of the family's 1533-position model. The record is from RNAcentral.